Molecule: ribosomal RNA, 591 nt
Filed under: uncultured bacterium
Lineage: Bacteria
Description: bacterial SSU rRNA
Rfam family: Bacterial small subunit ribosomal RNA
Source: RNAcentral
CCUACGGGAGGCAGCAGUGGGGAAUCUUGCACAAUGGAGGAAACUCUGAUGCAGCGAUGCCGCGUGAGUGAAGAAGGCCUUUGGGUUGUAAAGCUCUUUUGUAGGGGAAGAUAAUGACUGUACCCUAAGAAUAAGGUCCGGCUAACUUCGUGCCAGCAGCCGCGGUAAUACGAAGGGACCUAGCGUAGUUCGGAAUUACUGGGCGUAAAGCGCGCGUAGGCCGUUGAGUUAGUUAAUUGUGAAAUCCCAAAGCUUAACUUUGGAACUGCAAUUAAAACUGCUCGACUAGAGUUUGAUAGAGGAAAGCGGAAUACAUAGUGUAGAGGUGAAAUUCGUAGAUAUUAUGUAGAACACCAGUUGCGAAGGCGGCUUUCUGGAUCAACACUGACGCUGAGGCGCGAAAGUAUGGGUAGCAAAGAGGAUUAGAUACCCUCGUAGUCCAUACCAUAAACGAUGAUUGCUAGAUGUUGGAAAUUUAUUUCAGUAUCGCAGCUAACGCAUUAAGCAAUCCGCCUGGGGAGUACGACCGCAAGGUUAAAACUCAAAGAGAGUAAGUAGNGUUGAGAGNGACGACGCGACGACGAGGAGGAG